Molecule: ribosomal RNA, 363 nt
Filed under: uncultured bacterium
Lineage: Bacteria
Description: bacterial SSU rRNA
Rfam family: Bacterial small subunit ribosomal RNA
Source: RNAcentral
AUUGAACGCUGGCGGCAUGCCUUACACAUGCAAGUCGAACGGCAGCACGGGAGCAAUCCUGGUGGCGAGUGGCGAACGGGUGAGUAAUAUAUCGGAACGUGCCCAGUCGUGGGGAUAACGUAGCGAAAGCUACGCUAAUACCGCAUACGAUCUAUGGAUGAAAGCGGGGGAUCGCAAGACCUCGCGCGAUUGGAGCGGCCGAUAUCAGAUUAGGUAGUUGGUGAGGUAAAGGCUCACCAAGCCGACGAUCUGUAGCUGGUCUGAGAGGACGACCAGCCACACUGGGACUGAGACACGGCCAGACUCCUACGGAGGCAGCAGUGGGGAAUUUUGGACAAUGGGCGCAAGCCUGAUCCAGCAAUG